GCUGGGCCUGUUCAAACAAAAUGUAUUUUAAAACGGCUAAAUUCAAGACCAGGCUCGAAACGGGGGUAGCAACCCCAAACGAGCCCUUCAGGGCUCUGGGGGGAGCAAUCUGCCGAAGGCGACCGUGGCUGAAGCCAGAGCGAUGCUGCUUGGUGGUUUUAUAGCACGCUGUUGCCGUUUGAGAGGACACUCGGCAGGGCUGGCUGAGAUAACUGGCCUGGCGGUGGUAGUGACCCGAAUGCACGAGGCAGCGGAAAACAAACCUUUGUUCACAGCGGCACACAAACAACAUCUGUCCACGACGACGCUGUUGUUCUCUCCAGGCUCUCAAAUUUCGUGACUGCAAGACAAACAACUUUUAUCAAUGUCUUUCAGUACGUCCUUCAAUCCAACCUGCUCUUCCUGUCUGACUCAGAAAAAGCUCCCUAAAGGAUUCAGAGUGGUGCUGUUAAACCUGUAUUUUACAAGUAUUAAAAUCCAUCCAGACUUUGGCAGAAAUUAAAAA
Molecule: long non-coding RNA, 505 nt
Organism: Dromaius novaehollandiae (emu)
Lineage: Eukaryota; Metazoa; Chordata; Aves; Casuariiformes; Dromaiidae
Exons: 2
Source: RefSeq, a predicted model, not a curated record